Molecule: ribosomal RNA, 241 nt
Filed under: uncultured bacterium
Lineage: Bacteria
Description: partial 16S ribosomal RNA
Rfam family: Bacterial small subunit ribosomal RNA
Source: RNAcentral
CGCGACCUACGGGGGGCAGCAGUGGGGGAUAUUGCACAAUGGGGGGAACCCUGAUGCAGCGACGCCGCGUGGGUGAAGAAGUAUUUCGGUAUAUAAAGCCCUAUCGGCAGGGAAGAAAUUGGACGGUACCUGACUAAGAAGCCCUGGCUAACUACGUGCCCGCAGCCGCGGUAAUACGUAGGGGGCAAGCGGUAUCCGGCUUCACUGGGUGGAAAGGGAGCGUAGACGGCCAUGCAAGCCU